This 72-nucleotide transfer RNA is filed under the name Marmota monax (woodchuck). RNAcentral describes it as "tRNA.Val". The stretch from base 2 to 64 matches the Rfam family "tRNA". Rfam says of the family: Transfer RNA (tRNA) molecules are approximately 80 nucleotides in length. The record is from RNAcentral. Lineage: Eukaryota; Metazoa; Chordata; Mammalia; Rodentia; Sciuridae.
UGGGGAUGUGGCUCAGGGGUAGAGUGCUUGCCUGACGUUCAUGAGGCCCUGGGUUCCAUCCCCAGAACUUAA